RNAcentral lists this transfer RNA (62 nucleotides) under Malaxella flava. Its description in RNAcentral is "tRNA-Phe". The record is from RNAcentral. Lineage: Eukaryota; Metazoa; Arthropoda; Insecta; Hemiptera; Delphacidae.
AUUCAAGUAGCUUAAUUAAAGCUGAACAUUGAAAAUGUUUGAAUACAUAUUUGUCUUGAAUA